AGAAUCAACGCUGGCGGCGUGCCUAACACAUGCAAGUCGCACGAGAAAAGGUAGCAAUACCUGAGUAAAGUGGCGCACGGGUGAGUAACACGUGACUAAUCUACCCUCGAGUGGGGAAUAACCUAGAGAAAUCUGGGCUAAUACCGCAUAACACUUACGAGUCAAAGCAGCAAUGCGCUUGGGGAGGAGGUCGCGGCCGAUUAGCCAGUUGGCGGGGUAAUGGCCCACCAAGGCGAUGAUCGGUA
This 245-nucleotide ribosomal RNA is filed under the name uncultured bacterium. RNAcentral's name for it is "partial small subunit ribosomal RNA". It matches the Rfam family "Bacterial small subunit ribosomal RNA", at positions 26 to 285 of the family's 1533-position model. The record is from RNAcentral.